This 3088-nucleotide long non-coding RNA is filed under the name Taeniopygia guttata (zebra finch). RNAcentral describes it as "lncRNA (ENSTGUG00000020140.1)". Lineage: Eukaryota; Metazoa; Chordata; Aves; Passeriformes; Estrildidae. The record is from RNAcentral.
GCCCGCGCGGCCCCGCCGCGGCUCCGGAGGCGGGAGCGGCCUGCUGCCGGCACCGGGGCGAUGUGGAGGUUCGUGCCGUCAGGAGGCGAGUCGCGACUGGGCUUCUCCAUCGGAAAGAAGUGCGCUCGCACAGUUGUGCUGCAGGUCUAAACAACAACUGGCUCUAGCAGCUGAGCGAGAAUGGAUUCUGAAACAGAGUAAUAUGCAAACAGAACUUAACUGGCAGCAGCUUUGUAAGAAUGCUGAAUGUAAUUGGUAUCAGAAAUCAGAGGAUCCAACAUGCAGCCUAUGUUCAUCAAGAGAGGAGAUAUUUCAGCAUGAUGAUGAAAGUUCUUUGUGCAAAUAUAACCCUGCUUUGGAAAUAAAAAAGCUGCAGGAACAGAAUGCCAACCUUCGGGCUGCUAUUGCACAAAUGAGGGAAGAAAUGGAGAGUCUUAAUGAGCAGAUGUUGUCUUCUGUUCCUCAAACAGAAGACAGACAGCUUGCAGAGCAAGGUUCAUUGAGCACAAACAAAAUUUCAACUGGGACCACACUAAGCAACACCAAAAUCUGUUCAACUAUGCUGGAUUGUAUAAUAAACCCAGACACAGAAGAGUGGCCAGAACCCAAAGUUCUUGAAGAAAACAUGGUAAAUUUUGGACAACAGCUACCUGAUGUAGGUACUGGUAUUUGUUGUCAAUAUAAUGUCAAACACACUCUACAAGGAAUGCAAAAUAAACUCAAGGAAGCAGCAAGAAAAAUUUCAAUUCUGAGCCAAGAGAAGCGUCAGCUGAUUGAAAUGGGAAACAGACUCAGGGCAGAACUUGGAAUGGUGUUAAAGGAAGGAGUCUGGCAUCCUGUUAGCUCUAAACACUGCACAGUUUGUAUUGCCUCUGGUAGUCUUCUUCCAAGAGAACUUGUCAAAAGAACACAGUGUCAGCUAUCAGUUCUAAAGCAUCUACAGCACAGACUCACAACACAGGAGCUGCAGUGCACAAGGCAACAGCAUCCUUCAAGGCUGUCUUCUCUUACUGCCUGCCCUAGCUUGAAGGAAGAAGAAGCUCCAAGCAGCUGUGGAGAAGAAACAGAAUUACCAUCCAGUGAGGUUUGGAUAGAUUUCUCUAUUGAAAAUCAUGGGCCAGAUACAUCCACAAAGAUUGUUCAAACUCAGCUGCUCAGUCAGAGUCCUAAUCAUGUCCAGCAGGUUCAGCUUUCUUCAUCUAGAACGCAUAAUUUCUGUCAAAUUUUAGAUACGGCAUCAAGCCUUUUUCUACUCAGUCCUCAGAAGAACACCAGCCAGGGAAAAUACACCCAAUGAUCUUCAUGGGCUCAAGCAUCCUCUUCCAUACCUUCUACAUCUGUAGAAAGCCACUAGGUGGCAAGCUGGACAACAGGAUUUCGCAUCCACAGCUCAAGAGUCCACUGAGCUUUUGUCACCAAGCUGAUUCAGUGCAGAGAUCACACACACGAGUGAACAGCUGGUUCAAGCUAAGCCAUUGUAUAAAAAUUAUUUUGAAAAGUAUCAUGUUUUGACAUAAGCCACAGUGUCAUGCUUUGCAUCGAGCUAUAAACCUUCAAUCAAUCAAUUCAUUCUGUUUCAGGAACAUGUAGUAUUUCCUUUGAUGUAGAAUUUUGUUUAGGCUUUCAACCAUGUUAAAUUGACUUUGAAAAUUUACCUUCUCCUACUAGUAACUGAUCUUUGUCAAUUUGUGCGCCUUUAAUUCUUGCUGUGAUUGAGUAGUAUCUGGGACUGCAGACUAUGAUGCUUAUAAAAUUAAACUAGUACAGAAUACUGUAGUGUGUGUCAUUACAGGUUUAUUAUUACUACUUCUGCUGUCUGCUUUGUCUCUCCAUAGAAAAUCUGAUGUUACAGUCUCAAUGCCUUGAAAAAUAAGGGUUAAGUGGCUGGAGCCAAACACCUGUAAAUAUUACCUAUAGUUUACAGUGAAUAAUGUGAUUGAACAGUUCCAUGUCAAACCAUGCCAUUUACCUAAAGAAACCUGUGAUAAGACUGAAGUUCAGUUAGUUGGAGAUAAUGGUUUUUGAAGAAUUAUGUGAGAACUGCAAGAUGGACUCUGACUGGUAUUAGGACCAGACCCACUGCUUCCUAAACAAAGAUGUUUCUUUUUGAGUUAGUCCUUUCUGGAAAGAGAGGGAUUUUAGACAACAAAACCAAAUAUUUACAUACUAAAUGUUUUCCUAAGUGAAAGAAGAUUGAAAAAAGACCCAAAAGAUAAUGGCAGUAAUGCAGCUUUGUAAAGCGAACAGACUUACCUCUUGAGUCUUUUAUAUCAUGCAUAUCCAAACACAUUUUCUCAAAAUGGAGAGAAGGGUAAACUUGUAAAAUAUGAUGCUUUAAAACAGCUGAACAGAUAGGUAGUGCUUGACUUGAACUGUUAACACUGACCUUCCAGAUGUCUUCCUCUCUUAAGCAGUCUGAUGCUAAUGGAGAAUGAACAUGUACAGAUGAAGUGAGGAUUGAGCAGAAUCCUCAAAAAUCCUGUGUUAUACCAUCAGCAUGGCAAGCCUUAAUGAACUGUUCUGGGCUUCUAUGUACAGAAAUGGUCCUGAUAAUAUAAGAUUUUGACAAUGUGGCAUUAUGGCAGCAGUAUAUUUAGAAGAAAAGAGUAAACCAGCUCUCUUCAACUAUCCAAUCUCAUAACUGAAUACAAACAUAACCAAAGUAUUUUUCUGUCUGUUUUUUUGAGCAGGGGAGUUUGAAGUUGUACAUUCGAUCAAGCAAUCUGAAGAACCUCAGCAAAAUGUCAAAGCCAAGGAUAAAUGUGAAGCAUCAGCUGAAGAUUUGACAGUCAGAGGAGCAAGGCUGGAAGUUCAGCAGAAAUUAAAAUCCAGGAGUUUAUCUUGUGCUCAUCUAUUAAAACCAAAAAUCUCUUAUAGCAUGGCAAAAAUACGCAAUUAUAAUAUUAAAGACUAAUUUCUAUGUUGUCACAUAGGUUCUUUACACAUUUGCUGUUAACUUACUUGGACAUCUCUGUAUCGGGUCUAAUUGUCAGACUCAGUUUUGUAUGUCAGGUUGAGAUAUUUGCAGCCAGAAGAGAGAACAGAUAGCCUGUUUCAUACAGUGAGGCCUAAAAUAAAGGGUUAAUCU